This 1571-nucleotide long non-coding RNA is filed under the name Homo sapiens (human). Its description in RNAcentral is "novel transcript". Lineage: Eukaryota; Metazoa; Chordata; Mammalia; Primates; Hominidae. The record is from RNAcentral.
AUCUCAGUUGCCCUCUGAGCCUGAACCAAGUGUCAGGAAGAGUUUUCUAUGGCCCUUGACUCCUUAACUCUUUGCUUAUAGCGUCUCUGCUCUCUGAUGCCUCUGCUGUCAGAGAAAGGCUGUGGUUUAAAUAUUUAUUUAUGAAUCCAUCAGCUUGGGCCAACUAGGUCCAUUUAUCACCGUUUUGACUGUGUCUAAACUGUCAUUAGUGGUGUGACUAGAAACCAGUUAAUUUCGCUGGGUGGUAAAUUCGUGGACUGAUCUCCAAACCCUCCUACUGUGCUAAUGUUGCCAAUGGAAGUUUCCAGAGGCCAGGAUCCCUGGCCAACACGUGAUCGUAAACAACAUCAGGGCCUCACAGGGAACUCACAAUUUACUGAGGUUUGCUCUGUGCCAGGUGUUUUCAUGAUCCUCCAUCCCCUUGUCGUUUAGUCCUCUUCUCUGAGUCCUCCCCAUUUUACUGAUGAGGACGGAAAUCGAGGCACACGAUUAAGCGUUUCCCUGGGUCACACAGCUAAUGAAUGGCGAGCUGGAAGUCAGUCCCAGGUCAUCAGACUCCGAAGUCCAUGGUUUUGGUGAUGAAGGUGGGCUGUGAAAUGUGUGUCUUAUUCUAUGCAUGUGAGUCCGCUGGAACCAACUUUUCCACUUGGAACACAAUCUCAGUGCCUUUCAGCAGGUAACCGGCGCCAGACCAGAUCUCCAGAGAUGGAGGUGGUCGGCCUCAGGGCCCAGCCAUGAGAAGGUGUAUGAGGAGGCAUCGCAUCAGGCGCCCACCCUGUGCUUGCAGGGCCUGACCAUGAGCGCCGCCUUCAGUUUUACACCUUAGGCACCCCACUUGGCUCCCCUUCGUCCCAGCCCUGCCAGACCCACCCUUGACUCUGUGUUUCCUUUCUGGAAACUCGAGAGGCCAUUUCUACUUAAAGAGUCCUCACCUGGCCUACCAGCGACCAGAUCUGCCCAAGUGCAGAAGAAACACUUGGUUAUCUCCUCUUUCAUCGUCCCCGCUCGAGCAUAAAACAACAGAAAGUUUCCUAUCGGAACAGCAUGCUUGUGCCAAAAACAAAUUAGAAACAACAACAACUUCUCAAAAUUUUGAGCAAAAUGAUGGUGACCGUGUUCUGGAAAUGGAGCAAAGUGAGUGAGCCACUGUCACUGUUACAUCUGACAAUCACUACUGGUACUUGGCUAAAUAUUGCAGCCACCUCUUCAGGCUACACAUGUCAGGUGUACCAGAAGCACCUUCCGCCUCCAGCUCACUUCUGGGAGAUAUUUAGAGCUGACUCCUCUCCCCUCCCCAGUCUCCAGCCACCAGCAAGCUCUCUCCUUGGUGUCCCCAGCUCCUGCCCCUCAUGCUGAUAGAAGCAUUGCCCGCUGUUCUUCCUGUUCUUACAGGUUUCCUAGUGCCUGUGACCAAACACCUUGUGUGUGCUCCCCAGGAGAGAAAACCGCUAGCAGCCUCAGACAGGUGAGGAGUUGUUCCUCCUCAGACCCAGGAAUCAUUUCCCAGUGGAAUGACACGGUGAAGUGGAUCGCCAUUUUUAAACCUUCAAUAAUAAAGAUCUUGUGUGUCA